This 1444-nucleotide long non-coding RNA is filed under the name Vulpes vulpes (red fox). RNAcentral describes it as "lncRNA (ENSVVUG00000005664.1)". Lineage: Eukaryota; Metazoa; Chordata; Mammalia; Carnivora; Canidae. The record is from RNAcentral.
UGUAUAUCUACGUUAUAAAUAUACACAGACAUUUUUUGCAUGCUCAAAAAAAUUCAACAGAUGGAGCACACAAAGAGGUUAGGAGAGCACAGCUCUGCAGGUCACUCUUCUUGCUUUCUGGCCAAAGCCUAGAGACUUCACGCUCCAGCUGCUUCGGCCACUUGUACUUCUCAGAAGCCACCAUUGUGUCUCUCAACACUGCUCUUCUGUACUCGCCGUUUCCUCUGGAUUGUCCCUUACCCUCUCUGGCCUGGUCAACUCCUGUUUGUUCCACUCAGCUGUCAUCCCUGCUAGGAAACAUCCUCUGAUCCACCAGGUUGGAUGUUCUUCGGGGACCCCUCUUGCUUGUGCAUUGCUUUAUCGUGGCAUUUACAUCUCAUGGCUGUGCAAUCGUAUCCCCAUGUCCAUCUCACUCACUGUGAGGUGGAAAUGUAUUCUCUCAUCUCUGUUCUCCAGUACCUAGCAUGAUGGCUGAAGUGACCACGGGGGUCUCGGGGCUCUCUCCUCUCCCAUUCAUGCUGCUAUGAAGAACGCUGACUAAAAAUCUUUGCAAAGAAAACAAACAAACAAAAAAGGAUUAACAUCUUCUCUGAAGUCCCAUUCCUUCUGGAGCCUGGGUCAAAUUGUGACCCCCAGGCCUAGGGUCUCCCUUUAAGAAAGAGCAGAAAGUUCCCCUUCAACAACAUGCCCUGUUUCCGGACUGUGGUUCCUCCAGCACAAAGCAUAACCAAGGACUUCCCCUAAUGGCUCUGUCAGAGCCCUGGCUGAGUGAGCUCCUUCUGCAGAAACUUGAUAACAUCAGACUAUGAAUGAUCUAGAAUGGACUGGCUGUUUCACAGGAUUUGCAAAAGGAGAAGGCCUCCCACACCUGGGAGCCUAUCAGCUCUGGAUGAUGCAAGUAACAUCUGUACUUUCCCUGCUACAUCUGGACCUUGACUGGCUUUAUGGCGCAAGGCCUUACAAUUCUGGAAAAUGUAAGCCUGCAGCCUCUAUUGCUGGUACCAGGAUCGUUGCCAAACCUUAUUCAUGUUAAAUAAAUCUCACCAAUGAUAUCGCAUGUCUGUUUGGACCAUUGUGGGACUGGAAAUUGGCCGGCUUCCAUUACUUAAAUGUGUGAAGAAAGAUGAGAACAGAGCUCCUAAGUAUUUUCCAAUAUCUUGAUACUUCAUACAAGAAGAGAAAGAGGAGGAGGAGGGGAAGUGGUAAGUGAAGAAGGGGAAGGACUAGGGGGCGAAGGAGGAGAAGAAAUAGCGAACAGGGAGAUGAGGACAGGUAACCAAGAAAAUGACAACUAAGAUUAGAGACAAAGAAAAAAAUCACUAACCAACUGCCACCCUCCCCCACCCCCUGCCCCUGGGCCUCCGGCCCGGGCAGUGAGUCUAAUACAGUACCAAGGCAACCUCACACACCUGGGUCUGUGAAUAUUGAUGAUAUUGCUGCUUUC